Molecule: ribosomal RNA, 591 nt
Filed under: Triticum aestivum (bread wheat)
Lineage: Eukaryota; Viridiplantae; Streptophyta; Magnoliopsida; Poales; Poaceae
Description: partial small subunit ribosomal RNA
Source: RNAcentral
AUGGUUAUAAUAGGAGGAGAUGCGGAUGGCAAUGAAGAAGAUCGUUCUGGAAGUCAGUCGCUUCGCUGGAACUCGAAGCGUCCUGCUAAUCGCCAGCCACGACCUGCACGGAGUGUUCAGCAGGGGGAGGAAGUCGAGGAUGUUGAUCAGUUUCAUGUUGUAAAACGGACUAGACGUGCAGCAGUUGGAAGGGGAGCUGAGUCAUCUAGUAGGGCAGCAGUUGCUGGAGGAGCUGCCGCAUCUUCCGCAGUAGAUGCUAAGGCCAGCGGUGAAGGAGUUGAGGUGGCUGCAGGGGAAGAUGUUGAGCGACCAUCACAAGCGGGCAGGAUAAGUGCAUCACCAGGGCGGUUUGCAAAGUUCAACAGCUCUCUAUCCCCACCGCAGAAGUCUGAGCUAGUUUCGAGGUUGUUCGGGGGCCUAUUGAACUUAUUAGACACCCUUCCAGCGGACCUCACUAAGUUCCUGGUGCAGUCCUACCAGCCAGAGAGCUCUGAAAUGGUUUUCCCAGGCAGGGAAAGGAUCCCUGUUGAUGCUGACAGUGUUCACAGGGUAUUUGAUCUCCCAAACAGGGGUCAAAAGUCAGAUAUGUAG